UGACACAGCCAUAUCAUCCUGCAGGUCAAGGGCUGAGACUGGUUAGUAUCUGGAUGGGAGACCACAUAGGAAAACUAGUUUGCUGUUGGAA
Molecule: ribosomal RNA, 91 nt
Filed under: Danio rerio (zebrafish)
Lineage: Eukaryota; Metazoa; Chordata; Actinopteri; Cypriniformes; Danionidae
Source: RNAcentral